Ipomoea nil (Japanese morning glory) is the source of this 105-nucleotide long non-coding RNA. RefSeq lists it as uncharacterized. The record is from RefSeq and is a predicted model, not a curated record. NCBI's taxonomy places the organism in Eukaryota, Viridiplantae, Streptophyta, Magnoliopsida, Solanales, Convolvulaceae. The transcript is spliced from 3 exons.
AACUAAAACACAUAACAAUAUUGUCAAAUGAAACUGAAUUGUAAUUAAAUGAUAUGACAUCGUUUUGCUUUAUGGUCCAUGCUGUUACAUGGACUAUGGUCCAUG